GGAGAAGGCUUGCGCGGAGGGCGGCGGCCUGGGCUCGCCGAGCCAUGGCGGCCCCGGAGCCGGCGCCCAGGCGAGGCCGGGAGCGCGAGCGGGAGGACGAGAGCGAGGACGAGAGCGACAUCCUGGAGGAGAGCCCGUGUGGCCGCUGGCAGAAGCGGCGGGAGCAGGUGAACCAAGGGAACAUGCCGGGGAUCCAGAGCACCUUUCUGGCCAUGGACACGGAGGAGGGGGUAGAAGUGGUGUGGAAUGAGCUCCACUUCGGGGAUAGGAAGGCCUUUUCGGCCCAUGAGGAGAAGAUCCAGACCAUGUUUGAGCAGCUGGCGCUGGUGGACCACCCCAACAUCGUCAAGCUGCACAAGUAUUGGCUGGACGCCUCUGAGGCCCGUGCUAGGGUCAUCUUCAUCACAGAAUACGUGUCGUCUGGCAGCCUCAAGCAGUUCCUUAAAAAGACCAAGAAGAACCACAAAGCCAUGAACGCCCGGUGUGGUACCGUAUCUUCUCCAAUGGUGUGUGGGGCCCUCUGGGGUGUGGGGGCUGUGGAGAAACUGGUCUGCUCAGCCCCAUGCUCGUUCUCAGCACUUCCUGAUGAUCUCCGGAGCCCUAUUCGAGCUGAGCGGGAGGAACUCCGAAACCUGCACUUUUUCCCACCGGAGUAUGGCGAAGUCAAUGAUGGGACUGCUGUGGACAUAUUCUCCUUUGGGAUGUGUGCACUGGAGAUGGCUGUCCUGGAGAUCCAAGCCAACGGGGAUACCCGGGUCACAGAAGAGGCCAUUGCUCGAGCCAGGCACUCACUGAGUGACCCCAACAUGCGGGAGUUCAUCCUCUCCUGCCUAGCCCGGGACCCUGCCCGCCGACCCUCUGCCCACAACCUUCUCUUCCACCGUGUACUCUUUGAAGUGCACUCCCUGAAGCUGUUGGCGGCUCACUGCUUCAUCCAGCACCAGUACCUUAUGCCUGAAAAUGUGGUAGAAGAAAAGACCAAGGCAACAGACCCACAUGCAGUCUUGGCUGAGAUGCCCCAGCUCCAUGGACCCCCAAUGCAGUGGCGGUACUCAGAGGUCUCCUUCUUGGAGCUGGACAAAUUCCUGGAGGAUGUCAGGAAUGGGAUCUAUCCACUGAUGAAUUUUGCCGCUGCUCGGCCCCUGGGACUUCCCCGUGUGUUAGCCCCACCCCCGGAGGAAGCCCAAAAGGCCAAAACCCCAACACCAGAACCCUUUGACUCAGAGACCAGGAAGGUGGUCCAGAUGCAAUGUAACAUGGAGAGAAGUGAGGACAAGGCUCGCUGGCAUCUCACUCUGCUUUUGGUGCUUGAGGACCGGCUACACAGGCAGCUGACGUAUGAUCUGCUCCCAAGUAGGCUGGUAGGGGAUCAGGAGGUGGGCUGGGGCUCGGGCACUGGUUGGUACCACAACUCACUUGUCCUAUGUCCUCUCUUAAGCUGACAGUGCCCAGGACCUCGCCGCUGAACUAGUGCACUAUGGCUUCCUGCACGAGGAUGACCGGACAAAGCUAGCAGCCUUCCUGGAGACCACGUUUCUCAAGUACCGUGGGACACAAGCUUGACCCUCCCAGUCCUGGCAUCCCAGGAGCGGGUACCAGGGCUCAGGGUUGUAUACUUGGCAAAGAGCCCCACGCUGCUCAGAGCUGCCUUCUGCUUGUGUUCCCUGGAACGGAACAUGGGCCCUGCUAGUGAAGACCAGCCCCACAGCUUUCUACAGCAAGUGUGGGACCCCAGGGUGGUGAUGGAGCCCUGAGCCU
RNA transcript from Acomys russatus (golden spiny mouse), 1758 nucleotides. It is a transcript of the gene named nuclear receptor binding protein 2, with no coding region annotated. The transcript is spliced from 14 exons. The record is from RefSeq and is a predicted model, not a curated record. Lineage: Eukaryota; Metazoa; Chordata; Mammalia; Rodentia; Muridae.